GAGGAGGAGGAGGAGGAGCAUGUGUCUGUCAUGCUCCCUGCGGUCCUGUGCUGGGAAUUGUGGGAACCGCAGGGAGCAUGACAGACACAUGCUCCUCCUCCUCCUCC
This 107-nucleotide microRNA precursor is filed under the name Pelobates cultripes (western spadefoot toad). The record is from RNAcentral. Lineage: Eukaryota; Metazoa; Chordata; Amphibia; Anura; Pelobatidae.